Molecule: ribosomal RNA, 209 nt
Filed under: uncultured bacterium
Lineage: Bacteria
Description: partial 16S ribosomal RNA
Rfam family: Bacterial small subunit ribosomal RNA
Source: RNAcentral
UACGUAGGGUGCAAGCGUUAUCCGGAAUUAUUGGGCGUAAAGAGCUCGUAGGCGGUUUGUCGCGUCUGCUGUGAAAAACUGGAGGCUCAACCUCCAGCCUGCAGUGGGUACGGGCAGACUAGAGUGCGGUAGGGGGAGAUUGGAAUUCCUGGUGUAGCGGUGGAAUGCGCAGAUAUCAGGAGGAACACCGAUGGCGAAGGCAGAUCUCU